GAAAGAGAGACACAGAGAGAAUAAUCUAUUCCAGAAAUACCUACACAAACAUACUCAGUUAUAAUGUUUUACUAGAUACCUGAGAAUCCCUUAGUCUUAUUAGUAUUGAUGCAAAAUUAACUAGCACAAUGUAUGCAUGCACAUAGAAUUUGCACGCAUAUCAAGAAUAUAUGGACCCCCACAUAUAUAUUCCUGCAUGCUAUGACUUUUAAAGAUCUAGGAAAAAUCUUUAUAAGUCUAUGGUUUCAUAAUGUACAAAUCCAUUCCAUUUGAUGUUCAUCUACCUCUUAAUGCCACAUUUGUCUCUAGGCACUGUGCAGCUGGGCUGAUGAUCCCUCCUUUUAGGUUUGGCUAGAGGAUUAGCUGGAGACUCACUUCCAAGAUCUGUGUUCUCUCAUUUCAGAGGCAAGCCAGGCAUGGACCACUGCUGUGUGUGAUGUCUGACCGGGUCUGGCCUCUCUCAACUUUACACGACCAACACUUAGAGAUGAAGAUUGGUCACAGAUAGCAAAGAUGAAGUAGCCUCUGAGCUUCUCCACUGGCUCCAGAUGCCCCCAGAUUCUAUAACAAGCACACCCACUAUCCCUGUACCAACUGAGACAUGUAUAUGACAAUGAUACUAUGCCAAUGCUGACCAUCUGCAUCUAAUUUUUUUUUUUAAUUGAACUUUUUAUUCUGUCAAGGCAGGAUCUCUAGAAGAUGUCCCCAGCCAUUACGGCCCACACUGUAGUCAGUGCACACUGACUGAUGCCCCUGCAUCUCACCGCCAUCUUUCAGUUGUUAUCUGUUGGGAUUGGUCUGGAGCUGCUAUGAAUCCAAAUGCUAAACACUCUACCCCAAGAUCUGGUUGUCCCGGGACCAAUGGAAAAUACAAUGAGCCAAUCUCAAAA
Molecule: long non-coding RNA, 890 nt
Filed under: Mus musculus (house mouse)
Lineage: Eukaryota; Metazoa; Chordata; Mammalia; Rodentia; Muridae
Description: predicted gene, 48854
Source: RNAcentral